RNAcentral lists this ribosomal RNA (564 nucleotides) under uncultured bacterium. Its description in RNAcentral is "partial 16S ribosomal RNA". It matches the Rfam family "Bacterial small subunit ribosomal RNA", at positions 355 to 911 of the family's 1533-position model. The record is from RNAcentral.
UGGGGAAUUUUGGACAAUGGGCGAAAGCCUGAUCCAGCAAUGCCGCGUGUGUGAAGAAGGCCUUCGGGUUGUAAAGCACUUUUGUCCGGAAAGAAAUGGCUCUGGUUAAUACCUGGGGUCGAUGACGGUACCGGAAGAAUAAGGACCGGCUAACUACGUGCCAGCAGCCGCGGUAAUACGUAGGGUCCAAGCGUUAAUCGGAAUUACUGGGCGUAAAGCGUGCGCAGGCGGUUGUGCAAGACCGAUGUGAAAUCCCCGAGCUUAACUUGGGAAUUGCACUGGUGACUGCACGGCUAGAGUGUGUCAGAGGGGGGUAGAAUUCCACGUGUAGCAGUGAAAUGCGUAGAGAUGUGGAGGAAUACCGAUGGCGAAGGCAGCCCCCUGGGAUAACACUGACGCUCAUGCACGAAAGCGUGGGGAGCAAACAGGAUUAGAUACCCUGGUAGUCCACGCCCUAAACGAUGUCAACUAGUUGUUGGGGAUUCAUUUCCUUAGUAACGUAGCUAACGCGUGAAGUUGACCGCCUGGGGAGUACGGUCGCAAGAUUAAAAGCUCAAAUGAAUU